Molecule: ribosomal RNA, 127 nt
Filed under: Pedobacter frigidisoli
Lineage: Bacteria; Pseudomonadati; Bacteroidota; Sphingobacteriia; Sphingobacteriales; Sphingobacteriaceae
Description: Pedobacter sp. RP-3-11 partial 16S ribosomal RNA
Rfam family: Bacterial small subunit ribosomal RNA
Source: RNAcentral
UUUUACAAUGGAGAGUUUGAUCCUGGCUCAGGAUGAACGCUAGCGGCAGGCCUAAUACAUGCAAGUCGAACGAUAGUUGGGGCUUGCCCCAACGAAAAGUGGCGCACGGGUGCGUAACGCGUAUGCA